Molecule: ribosomal RNA, 253 nt
Filed under: uncultured bacterium
Lineage: Bacteria
Description: partial 16S ribosomal RNA
Rfam family: Bacterial small subunit ribosomal RNA
Source: RNAcentral
UACGAAGGGGGCUAGCGUUGCUCGGAAUCACUGGGCGUAAAGGGUGCGUAGACGGGUCUUUAAGUCAGGGGUGAAAUCCUGGAGCUCAACUCCAGAACUGCCUUUGAUACUGAAGAUCUUGAGUUCGGGAGAGGUGAGUGGAACUGCGAGUGUAGAGGUGAAAUUCGUAGAUAUUCGGAAGAACACCAGUGGCGAAGGCGGCUCACUGGAUCGGUAUUGACGCUGAGGUGCGAAAGCGUGGGGAGCAAACAGG